UACGGGGGGGGGCAAGCGUUGUUCGGAAUUACUGGGCGUAAAGAGCUCGUAGGUGGUUUGUCGCGUUGUUCGUGAAAUCUCACGGCUUAACUGUGAGCGUGCGGGCGAUACGGGCAGACUGGAGUACUGCAGGGGAGACUGGAAUUCCUGGUGUAGCGGUGGAAUGCGCAGAUAUCAGGAGGAACACCGGUGGCGAAGGCGGGUCUCUGGGCAGUAACUGACGCUGAGGAGCGAAAGCGUGGGGAGCGAACGG
This 253-nucleotide ribosomal RNA is filed under the name uncultured bacterium. RNAcentral's name for it is "partial 16S ribosomal RNA". It matches the Rfam family "Bacterial small subunit ribosomal RNA", at positions 524 to 775 of the family's 1533-position model. The record is from RNAcentral.